GACGAACGCUGGCGGCGUGCUUAACACAUGCAAGUCGAACGAAGAGCGAUGGAAGCUUGCUUCUAUCAAUCUUAGUGGCGAACGGGUGAGUAACGCGUAAUCAACCUGCCCUUCAGAGGGGGACAACAGUUGGAAACGACUGCUAAUACCGCAUACGAUCUAACCUCGGCAUCGAGGAUAGAUGAAAGGUGGCCUCUACAUGUAAGCUAUCACUGAAGGAGGGGAUUGCGUCUGAUUAGCUAGUUGGAGGGGUAACGGCCCACCAAGGCGAUGAUCAGUAGCCGGUCUGAGAGGAUGGACGGCCACAUUGGGACUGAGACACGGCCCAGACUCCUACGGGAGGCAGCAGUGGGGAAUCUUCCGCAAUGGACGAAAGUCUGACGGAGCAACGCCGCGGGAGUGAUGACGGCCUUCGGGUUGUAAAGCUCGGUUAAUCGGGACGAAAGGCCUUCUUGCGAAUAGUGAGAAGGAUUGACGGUACCGGAAUAGAAAGCCACGGCUAACUACGUG
RNAcentral lists this ribosomal RNA (510 nucleotides) under uncultured bacterium. RNAcentral describes it as "partial 16S ribosomal RNA". It matches the Rfam family "Bacterial small subunit ribosomal RNA", at positions 28 to 507 of the family's 1533-position model. The record is from RNAcentral.